Molecule: non-coding RNA, 46 nt
Filed under: Schistosoma mansoni
Lineage: Eukaryota; Metazoa; Platyhelminthes; Trematoda; Strigeidida; Schistosomatidae
Source: RNAcentral
AUCCGGCUGAGGAGUCCCAAAAUAGGACGAAAUGCGCAUCCUAGAU